CGCAGGUAUCGUGUUAGGGGGCAACUAGGCAAAAGAAGGAAAAAUAUCUAUAGCAAACGGGUUUUGUGUGGACUCGGCUGAAUAAUCUGUUUAUCCCCUUUCUCUCUCUAGAUUAUCUCCUCACUCGCACCUCACCCCAGCUUCGUUCAAUUCAAUUCCGCAAUUCUGCAAUUCGCAAAACCAGCCUCCAUAGAUAUUUGUCUGACCUGGACACCAUCAUUUCAGAAAAGAAAUACUACUAGUGAAGGAAAAAGGGAAUGCGAAUCUUUUUGAUUCCCUGCCCUGCUGCUACUUACUACUGCUAUUAGCUAAAUUCAACUAAUCAUACUCUGCUUUCUUUCCAUUCCUAACCUUAUAGUUAAUUGGAGGUCAAUGAGAAUUGGAUUGUGGUUGUUUGAAUGUUUUGAGCACCGUUCUGUGCGUGCCUUGCUGUGUUUCCACACCGAUGCUUCCAAAUAGAUAUGGCUUCCGCAUCCUGUAUGUCAGGUCUGUCUCCCCGCCUUCCUGCCUGCCUUGUUUCUUUAGCAUUGGUUUUUAUUUCGUAGUAGUAAUUUAUUUAUUUAAGGGUAAUAUGCUAUUCCCUCCCAUCCCAUCCCCUUGAUACGACCUGAUUGAUUGUUGUUUAGCCCAUGCAGUUCCGGUAGAAUGUGUGAACGUUUGUAAGUUGUGGAAAGGCAGCGAUGUGAGUGGAAGAUAUGAGUGCAGUGUGCUGUCGUGUGCGUGGAAGGCUCCCAGAGCAUUGACUGGUUUCCUUGCCAGUACCGCGCAUCCUUCUCCUCUUCAGCUGUCCACUCCAUAUAGGAGAAGAUAUCGCUUCACAUGUGUAAGUUUUAUUAGAAGUAUUAUCCAAUUCUGGUUUUUGUUGCUUUGGAGCUGGAUCACUAUUGACUUAAGAUGUGUAAGUUCUAUUGGAUUGUCGAAUUUUGGCACUUUUUGUUCCGGAGCUAAAUAACUUUUCGUGUACUUUUUCUUCCUAGCUGCACUCUAACCAAUUUAUUGGAUUUUCUUGGAAUCAGCUAUUGUUCUCUCUACGAUUUGGUCGAAAGUUCUUCUGGGUGAAGUAUGGCAAGUUUCUAUCAUGACAUGAUUGUUUUGGUGUUGCUUAGAGUUCUGUAGCAUUAGGAGAAUUUCUUCGGAAGUCCAAGUACUUUUGAUGGCAAAACUUGUCAUACGCAUUCCGUUGGUUUUGGCUGGUCAACAAACUGAGAAUACCUGUAUACAUUUGAUUCGACUGUAAUGGGAUAUUAUGUUAUACUCUUUUUUUUCUUUGGGGAUAUUAUUAAUAGGUGAAGUAGAUAGCAGGUAAUAUUAAAGCUUACAUGUUAUUUUACUGUCUAUGGGAUGUCCUUUUGCUUUACUAUCUUAGUUUACAAAACAACAAGAAUGUGUGAUUCAAGGGGGAAUGAGGUACUUGGGAAACCAAGUUACAAGUCUACAUAAGCUACAUAAGCUGCAAAACCUAGCAACUUAUGUGCAGAUACAGUUUGAAAUGCUACAGAACCUUCAUAUGCACACUAUUUUAUUUUUCUUUUGAAACAAGUAUUCAUGUUGAAUUACUUCUCAUGGUGUCUGGAUCUUUUACUUGCACCAGGGAUGUGAUGCCGUGGAUUCUGGAGGUUGGUAUAUUGAUAAAACUUCACCCAUUGCACUUGUGCAAAAGUUGUUACAGUUAAGUCAACCUCAUCUUCAUUGCUGUAAGUGGAAGUUGUAUUGUUCUUCAUCCAUGUGUUCUGAAUCUUCUGAGGAGAUCUCUCCGGGAACUUUGUGGGAGGUAUAUAUUUUUCUUCGCUUGUAACUAGUCUAUAGUGUUUUCUCUAUCUAUUUGCUUUUGUACUUGUGCAAUCUCCCCAUCCUCUUGAUUCUAGAUUAUAACAAUGUUGAUAUGCUGCAAAUUUUUUGAGUGUUGGUAUCUUUUAGGCUGUAUGUUUGAAAAUUACUUGGAAAUUUAUUUUUGACAAUAUCUUUAAUGCCAAAAGUGUUUGGGAAUCUAAGGCUGUACAUUUGUGGGAAAAGACGUCCUUGUAAAUUUAUUUUUGAUAAUACAUUUUGAUGCCUGAUUCUUGUUAGAAUGUUAGAAAUAACUCAAACCUGUACACCUUUACUAGAUUCAUCUCUAAUUGGAAGUGACCUGCUACCACCUUCUUUUGUAUAUGGUUGAGUUCUUGAGCUGCAAUUCAUGCAUUGUAGAAGAGUCCAGCUCUUCUCUUACAAUUUUAUGGGGCAUUGUCCUCUGCCCUUUUGUUAUAUAUCUGACUCAUUCUAAGAAGUAUCCCAGAUGAUAGACAUUUGCUUUUACUUUUUAUAGUCUCAUAAUGUUGAGAUACACUAAUUCCAUUUGUACUUUUUCUGUCAGGAACUUAAGCCUACUAUCUCAUAUCUUUCUCAGAGAGAACUUGAACUGGUCCGUAGAGCUCUGGAUGUAAGUUGUCCUAUCUUAUUAAAAGUGUACACUUCCUGAACACUUCGUACGUGUCUUAUCUUGGGCUCUUAGUUACUUUGUUUUUCGAGUCUUCUCGCAUUCUCUUCCCUUCUCCUUCCCUACAAUUUGACUCACCUCAUGCCAUUGAUGGAGUUAGAUAUAGUGAGUAGCAUUUACUUGGGUCAAGAAAUGAGGCUAUUUAGACCUAUGUAUAGUACCACCACUUUUGCCUUUGUUUUCUUCCAAAAUAUAUCAAAACGAUCUCUUGCAGCUGGCUUUUGAGGCACAUGAUGGUCAAAGAAGGCGCAGUGGGGAGCCAUUUAUAAUUCACCCAGUUGCGGUUGCACAAAUUCUAGGAGAACUGGUGAGAGUUGCAAAAUUCCAAAAAGCUAAUGUAAAUUCAUUUUGAAGAAGUAUGGCACUUAAUCUGGAAUCUUCUUAUUCUACAUGUAAUCAACUUCAUUCAUGUCUACUGCAUUUUAGGAAUUGGACUGGGAGUCAAUUGCUGCUGGUUUAUUACAUGACACCGUCGAAGAUACGAAUGUUGUUACUUUUGAAAGACUAGAGGAGGAGUUUGGUGCUACUGUUCGCCAUAUUGUAGAAGGGGAGACUAAGGUUCUCAUCUCUCUCUCUCUCUUUCUCUUGCUGAUGAUAAGGUGGGAUCUGUUUUUGGAUAUGCAAGUUUUUUAUUGUAUUUGGUGCUUUAGGUGUCCAAACUUGGAAAGCUCAAGUAUAAGGAUGAAGAUAAUUCUGUACAAGAUGUCAAAGCGGAUGAUCUUAGACAGAUGUUCCUGGCCAUGACUGAGGAGGUACUGCUUAAUUACGUCUAUUCAUACUUAAUUUAGAUAUUUUAUAUGGUUUAGCAGACCCUGACAUUUAAAAUCACUACCUUGCAGGUUCGAGUUAUUAUAGUCAAAUUAGCAGACAGGUUACACAAUAUGCGUACUCUUUCGCAUAUGCCUCCACAUAAGCAGGUGGUGCUGAUAUAGUAUUAUAUUUAUCCGUUCAUUCCUAUUGUUAUUUCUUGAUGCAUGCAACUUUUCAUUUUUGAAUUGCCUAAUUAUGCAUUAUAUCAUCAAUUUUGUGCAGUCCAGUAUUGCCGUGGAGACACUGCAAGUGUUUGCCCCACUGUGGGAUUCCUUGCAAGAUUCCUGCAAAAUCCCCAGGCUUAUCUGAAGAGAAAAUUUGUGAAAAACAGUCUAAGAUUUCAUUGCAAGUCUCCUCCUCUCCCUCACACCAUUCCCCACUCCUCUUCUACAACACACUAAUCCUAUUUCUUUUUUCUCCUACCAGCCACCAUAGCGUGGAAAUAGCCAGUGUUUUUAUCUCCCUCAUUAAACCACUGCACCCUGGCCUUUUGACUCCAGAAAACUUCUUAUCUCUUGUAAGCCUCAGCCAACUUUUUCUUCAUAUUUAUCAAAUGUGCCCGAGAGCCUCUAUCAACCUUUUCCUUUGUCUCCUUUAUCUCUUUUUUCAACAUUUCAAUCUGUUUUUGUGAGUUUCCUGCACAUCCUCUACUUCAUUUCAACAAAUUCAUUCUAACUUGCCUAAUUUUACACUGUACUUUGUAUAGCCUGGAUCCCUGUUGCCUCUCCCCCCAUGCCUUCCUUACCACUUCCCCUAUACCCUCUUGGUGUAGUGUGUCAUGAUUCUGACUAUACAAGAAAGUGCAAUGAAGUAUGUUAUACUUCUGACUACAUAAGAAACUGAUGCCGAAUCAAUUUGUUACAGUUUUGACUACGCAAAAAAAGUGCAAUAAACUACGUGGCACGUAUGGGGCCUACCUCUAAAAUCCUAUUUUGGUUUUGAUUACACAAGUAUGAUCGAAUAUGUUAUAGUUUUGACUACACAACAAUCAAACGCUUGGGCCAAUGUGUUAUGACUCUGAGUAUACAAGAAAGUACAAUACACUGUGUGCCAUUUUCAAGGGUUACCUCCAUAAUCCUAUUAUGAUUUUGAUUACGCAAGAAAGUGCAAGAAUGUUAUGGUUCUAACUAUAUAAGAAAAUGCAAGGAAGGAAUUGAGGCCUAGGGUAGUGUGUUAUGAUUUUGACUACGCAAAAAAAGUGUAAUGAAUUGCUUGCCACGUACAAGACUCACCUCCAGAAUUUUGUUAUGGUUCUAACUAUGCAAGGAAGUGCAGAAGAAGCGCAGGGGCCAUCUCUAAAUUUCAAACAUGAUUAAGUGUUUAUGGUUCUAACUAUACAAGGACCUGACGCUUUGAGCAGUGUGUUAUGGUUUUGAAUAUGAAAAAGAGUGCAAUGAAUUACACAUCAUGCAUGGGAGCCACCUCUAGAAUCUUGUUAUGGUUCUGUCUUUGUAAGAAUGUGCAAAGAUGUUAUGGUUUUGACUGUGCAAGAAGUGCAAGGAUGUUAUGGUUCUAAUUGUGAAGAAAGUGCAAGGCUAUUAUGCUCCUAACUUACAAGGAGCUGCAUCCCGUGUACGAGAGCUAUCUCUAGAAUCCUAACAUGAUCAAACUUACAAAGGCCAUUUUCAGAGUCCAAAUAUGCGUAUUAUAGUUAUGGUUUUGACCAUAUAAGGAAGUACAAUAAAUUGUACACUAGUACAAAGGUCAUCUCCAGAGUCCUAUUAUGGUUGCGACUAUGCAAAGGGGCCACUUCACAAAUCCGAACAUGUGUGUUAUGAUUAUGAUUCUGAGUAUAUAAGGAAGUGUGAGGAAUUGUGUGCUAUAUAUGGGGUCUACCUCCAAAGUCUAAAUACAAUCAAAUAGACAAUUUGGAUUGUGACAAGUUAUGUGAUGAUGCAAAAUCCUUUUAGUAGAGGUGAAUGUGAUAUCCCAAUUCUAAUCCCACAAUAGAAAGAAUCAAAAGAGAGUAAUGGUUUAUAAGUUUAAAUCCUUGGGCUAUUUAGCAACUUUGGUUAACUAUUUUUGGCCUAUGAAUUUCGCUCAAAAGUUGCUUGGACUAACUUUUGGACCUGGGUGAUGACACUUAUUAUUAUAUGUAGUAUCAACAUAUUACAACCUUAUUUGUAUAGUAAUAUAUUUUAUUUACACAAUCUUACAAUUUGUCCGUUCUUAUUAAAAGAAUAAAUUAACCAUUCACAUAGACACACAUAUGUAUAUAUGUAUUUUAAACACUUAUUAUUACAUUUAAAUUAUACUUAGUUUAUCAUAUGAAUAGAUAUAAUAACAAUUAUUGAACCUCUGCAAUUCAACACUUUCCAAAUUAAGUAUAUUUUUUCAAAAAAUUAAGAGUCUGUCUAAUAAGCGUUUAUUGGACACUUUCUAAGAUGUAAUUCAGGCGUUAAAUUUUUAAAUGGUAAAACUUGAUUAAGGAAAGUGUAUAAAUACAAUGACAGAUAAUAAUUUGUUAGUGUGUGUAUUCACAUGGUAUAUUGAGUAUGAUUAAAAUACAUUAAAGAUUGCUCAUUGGGCAUAUGUUACACAAGCUAAAAGAAUAUAAAUAAAAGUUAGUAAAGUUAUUUACUUUUCCUAGUGAAUUUAAAGACAAAAUAAUGCAAUUGUGUAAGCAUAUUGAAAGGUAUGGAAAACUUGAGAAAUUUAAAAAUAUCUAGAAUUGUGUAUAUUAUGGUAGUUGGAGAACUGUAUAAAAUAUUGAAGCAUGAUUAAUUGGCAACAAAGAAUCUUAAUUUGUCAUUUUUUUAGUAAAAGAAUGGUCUGUCCAACGAGUGUUCACGCACUCGUUAAGAUAGAUUUCAAGUGUUUGCAUUUUGAAAAAAUAAUGUUAAUCAGAAAAAAUAUAAAACAUAAAAUUGGGUAAUAAUUGUUAGUGUAUGAAUUCAUAUAGUAGAUUAAGUGUCAUUUAGAUAUACUAAUGCAUGCCUAUUGAACACCAUUAAAAAAAUCCACAAAAAUAUUGAUAUCAAGUGAUUAUUAUUGAUAACUACAAGAUGGGUCUCAUGUGUUGAUUUUUAUAAUGUAUAAAUAAUUUCAUACGCUCAAAAAUGUUUCUAAACAAAAAUAAUAAAGUUCAAUUUGAAAUUUCUCACAUUGACUUAAGAGAUAAAUAGACACCAAAGAAAAUAAAUUUAUCUAUCCAAAGCUAAAGACACAAAUAUUUUUUUUCCUAAAACUAGGACUGCAAAAGAACUAAGCCACUUGUGAGUUAGUCAAAACUCAACUCGAUUUCGGUUAAUUUCAUGUUCGAGUCGACCAAGUUAAGUUAUCGAACUUGAGCCCAACAUAGAGAAGCUCAAUGUGUUAAUUCAUGAGUCGGCUUGGUUAGAUGUACGUACGCAUGUGUAUGUGAAUGCAUAUGUGUUUAUAUAUCCCUCAAUAUUUUUCUUUUUUACCAAAAAAAUUUGAAUAUUUUAUUCAUUUUUAAAAAUAAAAAUUACUUUUUUAUUUUUAAAAAUUCGAGUUGGAUCAAGUUCGAGCUCGACUAGAUUCAAAAAUGAAAUUAAAUUUGAAUUCAAGUUUUAUAUUGAAAAUUCAUCAAGUUCAAAUUCGAGUUUGAAUUUAACAAAAUUGAGUGGAAACUUAAUUCGAUCAAAUAAAAAAUCAACUCGUUUUCAGCUUUACGUAGACUAUAUUGCAAAGAUGUCUAUACUAUAUAUAAAAGGAGAAACAGCGGAUUGGGAUAAACAUUUUUUGCCACUUUAUAUACUUUCAGUACUUUCAAUUUACUCUCGUUAAAAUCACUUAUUACUUUACCAUCUAAACACAAAUUGCUAAAAUAACUAUAUGUAAUUAUUUUUAAUCAUAACUAAUCUAAACAAUCAUGACAGAAUGAUUGCCUCUAACUCUCUACUAAGCACUGUAACUAGGAAAACUGUCAUAUUUGAUGGAAGGAUAGGUUAAAAUACAACAAUUUGCUUUAGUAAUGAAAAUAUUAUACAAAAUUAAUUGGCAAAAAUGCACCUGAAUUACGCAGGUAUCGUGUUAGGGGGCAACUAGGCAAAAGAAGGAAAAAUAUCUAUAGCAAACGGGUUUUGUGUGGACUCGGCUGAAUAAUCUGUUUAUCCCCUUUCUCUCUCUAGAUUAUCUCCUCACUCGCACCUCACCCCAGCUUCGUUCAAUUCAAUUCCGCAAUUCUGCAAUUCGCAAAACCAGCCUCCAUAGAUAUUUGUCUGACCUGGACACCAUCAUUUCAGAAAAGAAAUACUACUAGUGAAGGAAAAAGGGAAUGCGAAUCUUUUUGAUUCCCUGCCCUGCUGCUACUUACUACUGCUAUUAGCUAAAUUCAACUAAUCAUACUCUGCUUUCUUUCCAUUCCUAACCUUAUAGUUAAUUGGAGGUCAAUGAGAAUUGGAUUGUGGUUGUUUGAAUGUUUUGAGCACCGUUCUGUGCGUGCCUUGCUGUGUU
RNAcentral lists this long non-coding RNA (7705 nucleotides) under Coffea arabica (coffee). Its description in RNAcentral is "long non-coding RNA (CARA_LNC000397)". The record is from RNAcentral. Lineage: Eukaryota; Viridiplantae; Streptophyta; Magnoliopsida; Gentianales; Rubiaceae.